RNAcentral lists this long non-coding RNA (343 nucleotides) under Zonotrichia albicollis (white-throated sparrow). Its description in RNAcentral is "lncRNA (ENSZALG00000012938.1)". The record is from RNAcentral. Lineage: Eukaryota; Metazoa; Chordata; Aves; Passeriformes; Passerellidae.
CAGGGUGCUUUACACAUCCUCUGACCCAUUAAAAUCAAUCUGAUUCAUUUUCCAUUACAAAAGGUAUGAAGUGGAAGAAACUGCUGAAAAGGUGAAUGAGAGCAAAGAAAGAUGUAUAAAAGAGUUUAUCAUCAUAAAAGGGUGCUUGGACUUAAACCCAAGGAAAGAAAGCAGUAUGCAGAGGUAAAACUGUAUUUACCAGAGAAAAAAAAUCCUUGAGGCAGAAGGAGCAUGUUUUUUGCUACAGUAACUGAAGCCUGUGCUCUUAGCCUUUGAACAUAUGUGCAUCCUUAUUUUCAUAUAACCAAAUAAAAAAAUGCUGCAUGUAAGUGAAGAAAUAUUA